Molecule: long non-coding RNA, 6130 nt
Filed under: Equus caballus (horse)
Lineage: Eukaryota; Metazoa; Chordata; Mammalia; Perissodactyla; Equidae
Description: lncRNA (ENSECAG00000051823.1)
Source: RNAcentral
UACCAUCUUCAGCUAAAGAAAAAGGAAGAUAUUGGGGGCAGUGGUCUGGGACUUCAGAGGGGAGGAAGAUAAUUUACAUGGAGACAGAAAUGCAAAUGUUUGUUAAACAAGUUUUGCUGGGCCCAAAAUGGACUUGUUGGUGCCUUUCUAUCACACCUACUUUACAUCAUACUAUAGCUAUCUUAUGGUAUUAGCUCCUUCCUGGAACAUGCCUUCUAUAUUAAAUUCUUUUAGGCAGUUUGGGGGAAGGUCAAUUGUUCUUCUUCAUUCAUCUGAGCCUCUAUUGUCUUUAGCUUGAAACAUUCCGCAUACCGCAGUGGCGCAUCUUGGGGCCGCCUGCCCCGAACCCCAUCCCCACUCAAGCUAGUUUGAGCAGAACACAACUUAAUAGAGGAUUGUAGGCAAGCCCUAGGAUCUCUUAGAGAACCAGAGAGGAGUUGUGAAGCCAACAACCAGGCCCAAACCACAUCUGGGAGCAGUUGCAGUGGGGACACCACUGCCACCCUCACUGGACCAUCACUGGGCACAGAUGGUGAACACGACUUCCAGGGUCACUGUCCCUGGAAACCAGAAGAUUCUGCUAUCGCCUUUGCCAGGGUGUAUUCAAUGUGGCACCUGCUUCACUGCGUCACUUCUUCUGAUUCAAAGUCUCGGGGGAGGAUGUUUGAUUGGAGGCCAACUCGAUGUCUAUGUCUUGGCUGCAAGGGAUGCUGGGAGAACACGUUUUUGGCUUCUGUUUUAUGGAGAUUCGUGUGUUGAAGCCCAAUGUGACUGUGUUUGGAGACAUGACCUUUACAGAAGUAAUUAAGAUUAAACGAGGUCAUGGGGUAGGGCUUUGACCCUACAGGGUUAGUGUCCUUAUCAGGAAAGAUACCAGAGAGGUCUCUAUCUCCGCCCUGUGAGGAUACAGUGUGAAGGCACCAUCUGCAAGCCAGGAACAGGACCCUUCCCAAGGACGAAUCUUCUAGCACUUGAUUGUGGACUUCCCAGCCUCCAGAACUGUGAGUAAAAAAGUUCUGGUGUUUAGGCCCCCUAUACUGUGGUAUUUUGUUAUGGCAGCCUGAGCUGACUCACAUGUGUCCUGUACCUGUCUGGUUAUCAAGAAAGAAAGCAAAUUGUUUUCCCAGUUCUGAGCUCUGAGAGUAACCCAGCCUGCAGGUUACUCAGAUAAGAGACAUUGAACAAUAUAUUAACAUUUGAUAGCAGUUUCUCAAAACACAUAAAGAUGACCUUGUACCAGCUCAUUAAAAAAAGCUGAUGCCUGAAUGUUAAAUCAUAGUUCUUUGAAGAGAGUUUGGGGACCAAGUCAUAGCAUACUGGUUCUCAGCUUCCUGGCAAUGGGACGGGAAGAGAGACGUGUAGCAGUCAGCUGUGAAGUGGAGUUCCUGGCAGUGUCCAGGAAUUGGCGUCACUUUCAGGCCUUAUUUUCUGUGCAGCAGUCCACAAGUUGGAACACCCAUGACAGUAUGGGGGGUGUGUGUGAGUGAAUUUCACAUGUGCCAAAUGACAGCAAAGGGGGGAGCACAGCUUCAGAGAAUGUCUGAUCAGGGUCACAAAAGAAAAAAAUACCUUCAAGAGCCAGAUAGGUGGGGCUGUGUGUGGAAUGGGCCCAGAGGGUCAGAAGAGGGUAGCUGAGUUUUUCAGAAGCCAGUAGAUGCCCUGCAAGAAUAUUCUAAGUGUCAGAAAACACAGAAGGGCAGAAUUCAUCCAGAUGCCCUCCCCCAGGUUGCGGGCCUCACAAACUGCAGGACUGUUAAUCUCAGAUAUCAAUUAUCCCAUCCAAAAUCAUAACUAACCUCUCAAAUGAAGAUGGUUGGUGAGUACUGAAGUGCGGGUAACGUCAAAACACUUAACGUCCACAAAGCAAUUCUUUAAAAUAGUAACGCCCGUACCAGGACAUUGUCACAGGAGUUCGGAGAGAGGAUAACCCUCCCACUGUGACAGGGUGCAGUUUUCUUUUUCUUUUUCAUUUGCUCGGGCUUGUUUCCCAGCCAUGUGUCCUUCAGCGGGGUUUCUAAAUGGGUUAACAACACCCUCCCUCGAAGUGCUUGGUCAGGAUAUUUGUCGCUUUUUUGCAGCCAUGGAAAAUGCACACAGGGAUUGAAAGGCCCAGUUCAUGCAACAUUGCUCAAAGGAUUUGAGGAUUCCAUUACUGCACAAAUCCUUUAAUUAAAGCCAGUUCCUCCAGGCCCCUGUUGCCCGGGCCCAAUCCACAGCGUCCCUGGCGACCUUGGGAGGGUUGAUUAAUUGACGAGUUGGCAGUGCAACCAUUCCUUCAAAGAUCCCAAGAUAUAUCUGCUAAAACAAAAAUGCCCCCGGACACCAUAUGGUCCCUUGUUUGCAGUGGCUCUUAAAAUUUAUCUGCAACUUCUCCCCCGUGUGACUAAUGCCUGCUGCCUUCUACUCAGUGGCUGUUUCGACCCAUCACCCUUCCUCUCUGAGGCAAAGGACUUUUCAGCAAGGAGGUAUUUUUGGAAACUCAAGAGGGCGUUUUUGCAAUGUGGCAAUAGGAGGGAACAUUCUCCACUGGGCCCGAGUCACUGUUGCUAUCAAAGUGGCCAGAUUUUUGAAAAAUAUCUCUGCUUUGGCUUUUCAGGCACUCAGCAAUAAACAGCUAUAUCUGGGAAGCACCAGCAUCUAGAUUCUGCUUAUCAGAAGAGUGAAUUGAAGGGAAACUGGAUGGCAUAGAAAAGUCAGGCGGGAGCAUUUUCCAUGGCAACUCUCUGGGUGACUCUAAAUGCUUCUUCUUUAUGAUUCUGAGUAGCCCCCUUUGCCUGUGUCAGCACCCUGUGGAGAACACUCUGGUAAAACUGAGUUCUGAUUCAUCUUUUGAGAAACUCGAGAAAUGAGAGAAUUCAACCAAAGGCAAACUUUUUAAAUUGUCUAAAGCAGAGUAGACCUUGUAAAUUUAUUCAUCUGAGCAUGAUGAUGGUCGGGCAUGCAUAUUUGAGAGAAGCAGCUUGAUAAAAGCGGUAUGACGGAAGGAGAAGAAUUUGGAGUUCCCAAGGCAAUCCUGGAGGGAAGAGGUGAGAGGGUGAGGGAGGGGAGGAAGAAGCAGGAGGAGGCAGUCAAGGAGGCAGAAGUCUCUACGGUUAUGUUACUCUUGCCUCUGAACCACACCCCUCCAUCUUCAGAAAAGCCUGUCAACUCAGGUGCUUUUUAAAAAAGCCAAAUAGACUCCAGGGCCCCAUGUGGUCCAGUCUCAAGCUGGUCUCGUGGACAAAGUAAUGCAGUCCACAAGCUGAAAUUAAUAGCUAAUUCCAAACUUUACUUGAACGUCUGUAAUAACGUAAAAGGAAGUGUAGUAAAUAAACCACAUGAGACGGAGUAUAAAGCAGGGCUGAGAGCCUGGGGUCUGGGCCAGACAGCUUGAGUUUGAGUUCUGGUUCUGCCCCUCAUAUGCUGUGAGAUCUUCGGUGAGUCACUAAACUUCUCUAUGCUUUAGUUCCCCCAUCUGUAAAAGGAAGAUGAUUAUAGUAUCUACUUAUUAGGGUGGUGAUGAGAAUUAAAUGAGUUACUAUUUGUCAGGACCUCAACACAGCACCUGACACAUGGGAUGAGCUACAUAAAUAUUCGUUAAAUAAAUAACUGAAUCUUAGGAUCUGCUUUCUCUAACUCUCAACACGAAAGGGUGUUUCUAGUUUUCCUCUCUCUGCCUUUUGUUUUCAUGACUUUUCCACUCUUUUCUUUUACUCUUUCUCUUUAAGAAAAGUCUGCAUUUUCUAAUGCAAUCCCCAACCUUUGAUUCUCCAUCUCCCCCACCCUGGGAGCACCCAGAUCUCCACACCAGGGGCCAAGAGAGGGCUUGGAGAGGAGAAGACAGGAAAAUGCAGAGGAGACCACAUCAGAAUUUGCCCUGCUAACCCAGGAUGGGGGAGUAGGAGAAGAGCCAUGAAUUUGCAUUUUUGGAUUAUACUUUUCUGUUAUAUUUGAUGUGAAUGACCUUCGAGGGAGAAUGCAAGGAAGCCACUAAGUUUCAUAUCAGGUGGCAGGUCUAAGUCAGCAUGAGAAAGCGUGGAAAGUGUAGGUGACCACAAGAACCCAAGGUCACUUGAGAAUUCACAGAAUCCUUGGCAACUUUUGACUUCCACAGGCUCUGGAAAUGUAGGAAGUGUGAUCCAAUUUCUUUAACAUCUUGAGAGGUGGGAAAUAUGAAGUACUAUUCAGAAUAUGGAAAAAUGAAGAAAUGGGUUUCUUUUGAAGGGAGAUAAACAUUUAUCAGAACCCUUAUAACAAGUGGGAGAGGAUUCGUGGUGUUCAAGAACUUAAUCUAUUGUACAGGAGGAAGGACAUUUAUUAGGUUAAAUAAUAAGUACACAAAAUGUAUUUGGUAUACAUACGAUGGUAUACCUACAUACAAUCAUUUUUACACACAAAGAACCAUAUGCUUAUAUAUGUGGAAAUGAAUACAUUCAAUAAGUGGAUUAGAAGAGUAUGUUUAGCUAAAAAGACAUAUGAGUAAUAUAGUGAAAACGUAUGAUUCUACAAUCUGAAAACUCACAAAAUGAAGUAAAUUAAGGAUGCGGCUGGAGACUGGUAUCAGUUAAGGAUGGAUGGCCCCAGCUUCUCUCUUGGUUACCCUGGUAAAUAGACUUCUCUGCUCAUGCUAUCGAUAUUAUAAUGAGCAAAACCACAUGCAAAUAAAGUAGAUGGAAAGGGUGGGAGAAGACAAGAGGGUGAAUGACUUGCCCAAGACAUAGAGUAGUAAGCUUGGAGUUCAUAUAACUAUUGCUUCUUCCUCUGGCCUGAUCAAAACCAAGGUAAAGAAACCAAGCGUUGGUGUCUCCCACAUUGCCUGCCCCUCUUCUUUGUUACCACAGCUAGGUUGACGUGUCUAUAGACCAAAGGGUGGCAGAACAUCUUCUCCUGGUGGGUUUGAGGGGUAGGUGGGAAUGCCUGCAAAUGUGAGCCUUGAUUGCCUUCCCUCACCCUGGACAAGACUACCCAGGAUGGCAAAGUGGACCCAACUUACAACUCAUAUGGAUUUCUGUGGAUAGGAAAAAAAUACUGUGAACAAGCAUAGAGGAUAGAAUUUUACAACUGGCAGUCAUUCUCCCAGCUUCCCAUUGACUAUGCUCCCUGGGGAAGGGGAGAAUCCUUCCUCUGCCUGCGUGUGCAAACUCAGGUUGGUCCUAUUAGCUCGCUAGUCACUCACAGAUAAUAAAACAUUCUUUGGUCAAUUUUAGUCAUAAACACGGCAUCAAUUUUAGUAAUUUAAAAAUGUUCAGUCUCACUGAGGGGAAUGAUUACUCUCAUUUUUUUCAGGUAAGAAAAUUAAAGUUUAGAGAGAAUAAUUGAUUUAAUAAAGUUCCCAGAGGUAGAAAGUGGGGAAGCCAGGAUUCAAGCCCACGGCCCACGUCAGUGUCGCUCUGCAGCUCACACUUUCUCCUCUCCUUCCAAUCUGUUUAUCUACCCUUGAGUGACUGAUGAGUGAAGGACUGAAAAUGGUUGCAUCCCAGUUUCUUAGCAGGUCCUACGUAGGUGAUGUUCUUAGAGGCAGAACUCUGAGAUCACAUGAAAAGUACCACUUACCAUUCUGUCCCUCUAGGAAGAGAGGGGAAUUAUUUACAGCAGGGUUUCUUAACCUGCAGUCCAUGAAUGAUCUGGUGGAAAGAUAAAUAUUUUUCUUUAGAUCAUUUUUUGUGUCACUUUGUAAAUUAUCUUUGUGAAAAUAAUAUGUUUUUUCUAAAUGUAAAAAUAUUUUUGAUGAGUGGUUUCACUGCAAACAUGUGUAGGAUGGAAAGGAUGUUACUGUACAUGGUGGGUAAUAGACACUCUAGUGAUUACUCCGACUUCCUGUUGGCAAGAGGACUGUCCCACUGAGAGAAAUGGAUGACAAUCCCCCUACCUUUGUGAAUUUGCCCUCCUGUCUUUCUUACCUCGGGCCUAGCUUAAGUGGGAAGAUAUCAAUAAAAAGAAAUGAUGUCUAAAUUUACACGUAUCCUUUGUUUUGAUUUUUAUCAAUGAUCCUGAUCAGGACCAACCCCCGUGACCCACUCCCCCACAAAAGCUGCAGUGCUUAUUGUAUGGCAAAAUUGUGUCUGUCUAUCCCGAAAAUACAUUAGACAAGGCAGACAUUUUUCCUGAGAAGGCUUGAUUUUAAAAGGCUGGAACUGUAUUUAAACUUCUG